GGGUGAGUAAUACAUCGGAACGUGUCCUGUUGUGGGGGAUAACUGCUCGAAAGGGUGGCUAAUACCGCAUGAGACCUGAGGGUGAAAGCGGGGGAUCGCAAGACCUCGCGCAAUUGGAGCGGCCGAUGCCCGAUUAGCUAGUUGGUGAGGUAAAGGCUCACCAAGGCGACGAUCGGUAGCUGGUCUGAGAGGACGACCAGCCACACUUGGACUGAGACACGGCCCAGACUCCUACGGGAGGCAGCAGUGGGGAAUUUUGGACAAUGGGGGCAACCCUGAUCCAGCCAUGCCGCGUGCAGGAUGAAGGCCUUCGGGUUGUAAACUGCUUUUGUCAGGGACGAAAAGGACCGUGUUAAUACCAUGGUCUGCUGACGGUACCUGAAGAAUAAGCACCGGCUAACUACGUGCCAGCAGCCGCGGUAAUACGUAGGGUGCAAGCGUUAAUCGGAAUUACUGGGCGUAAAGCGUGCGCAGGCGGUUCUGUAAGACAGAUGUGAAAUCCCCGGGCUCAACCUGGGAAUUGCAUUUGUGACUGCAGGACUAGAGUUCAUCAGAGGGGGGUGGAAUUCCAAGUGUAGCAGUGAAAUGCGUAGAUAUUUGGACGAACACCAAUGGCGAAGGCAGCCCCCUGGGAUGCGACUGACGCUCAUGCACGAAAGCGUGGGGAGCAAACAGGAUUAGAUACCCUGGUAGUCCACGCCCUAAACGAUGUCUACUGGUUGUUGGGGUUUUUUAACCUUGGUAACGAAG
Molecule: ribosomal RNA, 750 nt
Filed under: uncultured bacterium
Lineage: Bacteria
Description: bacterial SSU rRNA
Rfam family: Bacterial small subunit ribosomal RNA
Source: RNAcentral